This 854-nucleotide ribosomal RNA is filed under the name uncultured bacterium. RNAcentral's name for it is "bacterial SSU rRNA". It matches the Rfam family "Bacterial small subunit ribosomal RNA", at positions 21 to 882 of the family's 1533-position model. The record is from RNAcentral.
GGCUCAGGACGAACGCGGGCGGCGUGCUUAACACAUGCAAGUCGAACGGGAUCCAAGCAGUGGCAACACUGUGGAAGAUCUAGUGGCGAACGGGUGAGUAACACGUGAAGAACCUGCCCCAGACUCUGGAAUAACACUCCGAAAGGAGUGCUAAUACCGGAUACCUUCUCGAGGUCGCAUGGCUUUGAGAAGAAAGAUUCAUCGGUUUGGGAGGGCUUCGCGGCCUAUCAGCUUGUUGGUGGGGUAACGGCCUACCAAGGCGUCGACGGGUAGCUGGUCUGAGAGGAUGAUCAGCCACACUGGGACUGAGACACGGCCCAGACUCCUACGGGAGGCAGCAGUGGGGAAUCUUGCUCAAUGGGCGAAAGCCUGAAGCAGCAACGCCGCGUGCGGGAUGAAGGCCCUCGGGUUGUAAACCGCUUUCAGCAGGAACGAAUCUGACGGUACCUGCAGAAGAAGGUCCGGCCAACUACGUGCCAGCAGCCGCGGUAACACGUAGGGACCAAGCGUUGUCCGGAUUUAUUGGGCGUAAAGAGCUCGUAGGCGGUUCAGUCAGUCGGGUGUGAAAACUUCGGGCUUAACUCGAAGCAUGCAUCCGAUACUGCUGUGACUUGAGUCCGGUAGGGGAGUGGGGAAUUCCUGGUGUAACGGUGAAAUGCGCAGAUAUCAGGAGGAACACCGGUGGCGAAGGCGCCACUCUGGGCCGGUACUGACGCUGAGGAGCGAAAGCGUGGGUAGCAAACAGGAUUAGAUACCCUGGUAGUCCACGCUGUAAACGUUGGGCACUAGGUGUGGGCUCUAACCAACGGAGUCCGUGCCGCAGCUAACGCAUUAAGUGCCCCGCCUGGGGAGUA